GAUGAACGCUGGCGGCGUGCCUAAUACAUGCAAGUAGAACGCUGAAGCUUGGUGCUUGCACCGAGCGGAUGAGUUGCGAACGGGUGAGUAACGCGUAGGUAACCUGCCUCUUAGCGGGGGAUAACUAUUGGAAACGAUAGCUAAUACCGCAUAAAAGACGAUAUCGCAUGAUAUUGAUUUGAAAGGUGCAAUUGCAUCACUAAGAGAUGGACCUGCGUUGUAUUAGCUAGUUGGUGAGGUAACGGCUCACCAAGGCGACGAUACAUAGCCGACCUGAGAGGGUGAUCGGCCACACUGGGACUGAGACACGGCCCAGACUCCUACGGGAGGCAGCAGUAGGGAAUCUUCGGCAAUGGGGGCAACCCUGACCGAGCAACGCCGCGUGAGUGAAGAAGGUUUUCGGAUCGUAAAGCUCUGUUGUAAGAGAAGAACGAGUGUGAGAGUGGAAAGUUCACACUGUGACGGUAACUUACCAAAAGGCG
This 482-nucleotide ribosomal RNA is filed under the name Streptococcus parasanguinis. RNAcentral describes it as "bacterial SSU rRNA". It matches the Rfam family "Bacterial small subunit ribosomal RNA", at positions 28 to 492 of the family's 1533-position model. The record is from RNAcentral. Lineage: Bacteria; Bacillati; Bacillota; Bacilli; Lactobacillales; Streptococcaceae.